AAUAACAUUUUAAACAAAUUUUAAAAAUAGUUUUAUUUUGAAUUCGAUUACUUAGGAUAUUUUUAAAGAAACAAAAAUGAAUUUUAAAACUUUAUUCUUUGCUUGUUUUGCUAUAUUAAUGAUAUUUCAAUAUGGGAAAUCUGAUGAUGAUUUUUAUCAGAGAUGUUCGAUGAAUAAAGACGGCCUAUUUUUCAAUUGCGUCAGAUCAGACAGAACUAAAGGAGUCAACUGCAAUGUAAGAAAAUCUUCGGGAAAUAAUACGAUUCAAGGAUUCCCUACUAUGCAAGAAGCUCUCAAAGCGUUAGGCAUGCUUACAUGAAUAUCUUUAAUCAAAAAUUUUAGAACAAUCAAAGAAUUAUCAUUUACAUAUGGAAAAAUUUAUUUAUUACACUGGUCAACUAUUGUAUAUAUUAUUUACCAUUCUUGAUUUUAUAUAAUUAUAGGCUAAAAAAAAUUAGUUAAAUUAUUAAUAGUAUAUUCACUCCUCGGCAACUCUCUGAAUC
This is a long non-coding RNA of Gordionus sp. m RMFG-2023, 503 nucleotides long. RefSeq lists it as uncharacterized. NCBI's taxonomy places the organism in Eukaryota, Metazoa, Nematomorpha, Gordioida, Chordodea, Parachordodidae. The transcript is spliced from 5 exons. The record is from RefSeq and is a predicted model, not a curated record.